Long non-coding RNA from Strigops habroptila (Kakapo), 2035 nucleotides. The record is from Ensembl. Lineage: Eukaryota; Metazoa; Chordata; Aves; Psittaciformes; Psittacidae.
GGAUGACCAAAUAGCGUUUUAUUAAACAACAGCAGGUGCUUUAUACCUUUCGGCCACACGGAAGUACCUGUUCUGACCCAAUCAGAAGGGCAGGUUAACAAUUUUUACCUUUUAUGGUAUUGUCCAGCCUAGCCCCACAAUUCCCCUCUUCAUGCUAUGGGGCUUGUGAGAGUACCUAGGGAGGGGCUCUCUCUUUCCGUACAUCGCGAUAUCUUCCGGCCGCCAUACCUUAACUACCUACAUAUCCCCCCUCCCUAUGCACCAAUAAGGUGAUUAAGAUAAAACAAUCCUAAAAAUACGUGUCAUAAAACUUGUGUGCAAACCUAGCAAAUGUGUGCUGUUUCUACAUUAUUUCUUAUAAAAAUUCUAAAAAUAUACAUUAUAAGUUUAGAUAGAAAAUAUAAGGCACGCCAAACAGGAUAACUGGAGAACAACUGAGAGUAAUGGUGUAUAACUAGGGAUAGCUAAAGGGAGUUUUAAACGAAAACAGUCUUAGAGCAAUCGCUAAAAUGCCAUUAAUCUAAUGCUAACACUCUCUAAUUGACUCUUAACAAAUGAAACGAGCUUGACAGGGUCCCAAAAUCACUGCUAUUACAAUCAUUGUGAUUGGUCCCAUUAGGUAGAUAUCAGGGUGGUCAGCCAUGGUGAAUGGUUGAACCAUGACGUAAACCAACUUUGCUGUGCCUCUCGUUCCCUCCUUCGUUUUUUCCAGACCUUUCUGCAAUUUGGUCAUAGUGUCUUUUACUAUUCUGGUGUGGUCUGCAUAUACACAACACCCUUCCUCUAGUGCAGCGCACACUCCCCCUUGCUGUAGAAGCAUCAGGUCUGAUCCUCUUCCUUGUCAUCUUCAUUCGUCACUGAGAUGUACCGGUUGCGAGCGUGUCCGACAAUCCAGUCCUGCGGACAAGAACUCACAAUUUCCAUUAGUUUUAUUCUGAUCCUCCUUUAAUUCCGCCUUAAUACAUCUGCUAGGUACCCAUCUCAGCAAUCCCUCCUUUUCUACUGCUGCAUACCCUCUUCCAAUUGGUAUGCAGCGGUAGAAAAGGAGGGAUUGCUGAGAUGGGUGCCUAGCAGGUGUAUUAAGGUGGAAUUAAAGGAGACAGAUAACUGAUAAUCAUGCAAUCAGAAUAAAACUAAUGAAAACUGUGAGUUCUUGUCCACAGGACUGGAUUGUCGGACGCCCUCGCAACCCGUACGUCCCAGUGACAAAUGAAGAUGACAAGUUGACAAGCAUCCUUGUGCGCUGCACUAGGGGAAGAGUGUUGUGUAUAUGCAGACCACACCAGAAUAGUAAGAGAUACUAUGGCCAAAUUGCGGGAAGGUUUGGAAAAACGAAAGAGGGAACGAGAGGCACAGCAAGGUUGGUUUACGUCAUGGUUUAACCAUUCACCAUGGCUGACCACCCUGAUAUCUACCUAAUGGGACCAAUCACAAUGAUUGUAAUAGCAGUGAUUUUGGGACCCUGUCAAGCUCGUUUCAUUUGUUAAGAGUCAAUUAGAGAGUGUUAGCAUUAGAUUAAUGGCAUUUUAGCGAUUGCUCUAAGACUGUUUUCGUUUAAAACUCCCUUUAGCUAUCCCUAGUUAUACACCACUACUCUCAGUUGUUCUCCAGUUAUCCUGUUUGGUGUGCCUUAUAUUUUCUAUCUAACUUAUAAUGUAUAUUUUUAGAAUUUUUAUAAGAAAUAAUGUAGAAACAGCACACAUUUGCUAGGUUUGCACACAAGUUUUAUGACACGUAUUUUUAGGAUUGUUUUAUCUUAAUCACCUUAUUGGUGCAUAGGGAGGGGGGAUAUGUAGGUAGUUAAGGUAUGGCGGCCGGAAGAUAUCGCGAUGUACGGAAAGAGAGAGCCCCUCCCUAGGUACUCUCACAAGCCCCAUAGCAUGGAGAGGGGAAUUGUGGGGCUAGGCUGGACAAUACCAUAAAAGGUAAAAUUUGUUAACCUGCCCUUCUGAUUGGGUCAGAACAGGUACUUCCGUGUGGCCGAAAGGUAUAAAGCACCUGCUGUUGUUUAAUAAAACGCUAUUUGGUCAUCCUC